RNAcentral lists this ribosomal RNA (548 nucleotides) under Russula sp. 'elastica'. RNAcentral's name for it is "Russula foetens var. elastica partial 12S small subunit ribosomal RNA". It matches the Rfam family "Bacterial small subunit ribosomal RNA", at positions 359 to 952 of the family's 1533-position model. Lineage: Eukaryota; Fungi; Basidiomycota; Agaricomycetes; Russulales; Russulaceae. The record is from RNAcentral.
GAAUAUUAGUCAAUGCUCGAAAGAGUGAACUAGCUAACUGAAAUCAAUUAAAAAUUGAUAACAUAAGGGAAAAUAAUGAUAUUACCUUAUUAUUAGUGUCGUCCAAAACUGGUGCCAGAAGACUCGGUAAGGCCAGAGACACAAACGUUAAUCGUCUUAAUCAGGCGUAAAGGGUUUGUAGGCGGCUUUUUAAUUGACUUAUAAAUAUUAAAAUAAAUAAGUAAAAAUAAAAGCUAGAAUCAAAUAGAGGAUAUAUCAAAUAAUGCUUAGAGUAGGUCUGAUAUCCUUAGAUACUAAGUAGAAUAUUAAAGGCGAAAGCUUUUUUCCAUUAAUGAUUGACGCUCAGAAACGAAGGUGAGGAUAGGAAAUAGGAUUAGAUACCCAAAAUACCCCUCUCUGUCAACGAUGAAUGGUAGUUAUUAGUAAUAAAUUUAUUAAUAGCAAUGUUAACACGAUAACCAUUCCGCCUUGUGAGUACAACUGCAAAGUUGAAAACAAAAAAAUUAGUCGGUUUCGGAGCAAACGAAGUGAAGCAUGUUAUUUAAUUC